RNAcentral lists this ribosomal RNA (429 nucleotides) under Bacteroidota bacterium. Its description in RNAcentral is "Bacteroidetes bacterium partial 16S ribosomal RNA". It matches the Rfam family "Bacterial small subunit ribosomal RNA", at positions 355 to 776 of the family's 1533-position model. Lineage: Bacteria; Pseudomonadati; Bacteroidota. The record is from RNAcentral.
UAGGGAAUCUUCCGCAAUGGACGCAAGUCUGACGGAGCAACGCCGCGUGAGUGAAGAAGGAUUUCGGUUCGUAAAACUCUGUUGUUAGAGAAGAACAGCGCAUAGAGUAACUGUUAUGCGUGUGACGGUAUCUAACCAGAAAGCCACGGCUAACUACGUGCCAGCAGCCGCGGUAAUACGUAGGUGGCAAGCGUUGUCCGGAUUUAUUGGGCGUAAAGCGAGCGCAGGCGGUCAAUUAAGUCUGAUGUGAAAGCCCCCGGCUCAACCGGGGAGGGUCAUUGGAAACUGGUUGACUUGAGUGCAGAAGAGGAGAGGGGAAUUCCAUGUGUAGCGGUGAAAUGCGUAGAUAUAUGGGGGAACACCAGUGGCGAAGGCGACUCUCUGGUCUGUAACUGACGCUGAGGCUCGAAAGCGUGGGUAGCAAACAGG